RNAcentral lists this ribosomal RNA (489 nucleotides) under uncultured bacterium. Its description in RNAcentral is "SSU rRNA". It matches the Rfam family "Bacterial small subunit ribosomal RNA", at positions 26 to 524 of the family's 1533-position model. The record is from RNAcentral.
AGGACGAACGCUGGCGGCGUGCCUAACACAUGCAAGUCGAACGAGGUCCAACCGGUAGCAAUACCGGUGAAGAUCAAGUGGCGAACGGGUGAGUAGCACGUGAGCAACCUGCCCCGAAGACCGGGACAACACCGGGAAACCGGUGCUAAUACCGGAUAUCCCCACCGAGUCGCAUGGCUCAGUGAGGAAAUGGAUUCCGCUUCGGGAGGGGCUCGCGGCCUAUCAGCUAGUUGGUGAGGUAACGGCUCACCAAGGCUUCGACGGGUAGCUGGUCUGAGAGGACGAUCAGCCACACUGGGACUGAGACACGGCCCAGACUCCUACGGGAGGCAGCAGUGGGGAAUCUUGCACAAUGGGCGAAAGCCUGAUGCAGCAACGCCGCGUGAGGGACGAAGGCUUUCUGAGUUGUAAACCUCUUUCAGCAGGGACGAUUGUGACGGUACCUGCAGAAGAAGCCCCGGCCAACUACGCGCCAGCAGCCGCGGUAAU